This 463-nucleotide ribosomal RNA is filed under the name uncultured bacterium. RNAcentral describes it as "partial 16S ribosomal RNA". It matches the Rfam family "Bacterial small subunit ribosomal RNA", at positions 28 to 505 of the family's 1533-position model. The record is from RNAcentral.
GACGAACGCUGGCGGCGUGCUUAACACAUGCAAGUCGAACGGAAAGGCCCUGCUUGCAGGGUACUCGAGUGGCGAACGGGUGAGUAACACGUGGGUGAUCUGCCCUGCACUUCGGGAUAAGCCUGGGAAACUGGGUCUAAUACCGGAUAGGAGCCAUUUUUAGUGUGAUGGUUGGAAAGUUUUUUCGGUGUAGGAUGAGCUCGCGGCCUAUCAGCUUGUUGGUGGGGUAAUGGCCUACCAAGGCGGCGACGGGUAGCCGGCCUGAGAGGGUGGACGGCCACAUUGGGACUGAGCUACGGCCCAGACUCCUACGGGAGGCAGCAGUGGGGAAUAGUGCACAAUGGGCGCAAGCCUGAUGCAGCGACGCCGCGUGGGGGAUGACGGCCUUCGGGUUGUAAACUCCUUUCGCUAGGGACGAAGCUUUUUGUGACGGUACCUAGAUAAGAAGCACCGGCUAACUACG